Molecule: ribosomal RNA, 231 nt
Filed under: uncultured bacterium
Lineage: Bacteria
Description: partial 16S ribosomal RNA
Rfam family: Bacterial small subunit ribosomal RNA
Source: RNAcentral
CGGAAUCAUUGGGCGUAAAGCGCGCGUAGGCGUCCCGGUAAGUCCGCUGUAAAAGUCCAGGGCUCAACCCUGGAAAGCCGGUGGAUACUGUCGGGCUAGAGUCCGGAAGAGGCGAGUGGAAUUCCUGGUGUAGCGGUGGAAUGCGCAGAUAUCAGGAGGAACACCGAUGGCGAAGGCAGCUCGGUGGGACGGUACUGACGCUGAGGCGCGAAAGCGUGGGGAGCGAACAGG